Molecule: ribosomal RNA, 253 nt
Filed under: uncultured bacterium
Lineage: Bacteria
Description: partial 16S ribosomal RNA
Rfam family: Bacterial small subunit ribosomal RNA
Source: RNAcentral
UACGUAGGGAGCAAGCGUUGUCCGGAUUUAUUGGGCGUAAAGAGCUCGUAGGCGGUUCCGUAAGUCGGGUGUGAAAAAUCUGGGCUCAACCCAGUGGAGCACUCGAUACUGCGGUGACUCGAGUCCGGUAGGGGAGUGUGGAAUUCCUGGUGUAGCGGUGAAAUGCGCAGAUAUCAGGAGGAACACCGACGGCGAAGGCAGCACUCUGGGCCGGUACUGACGCUGAGGAGCGAAAGCGUGGGGAGCGAACAGG